GAUCCUGGCUCAGGAUGAACGCUGGCGGCGUGCCUAAUACAUGCAAGUCGAGCGAGAAUCAUUUGAUCGGAGAUUCGUCGAAGAGAGAAUGAGGAAAGCGGCGGACGGGUGAGUAACGCGUAGGCAACCUGCCCUUAGCAGAGGGAUAGCCAUUGGAAACGAUGAUUAAAACCUCAUAAUGCCAAACCUGCACAUGUGGGUCUGGCCAAAGAUUUAUCGGCUAAGGAUGGGCCUGCGUCUGAUUAACUAGUUGGUGAGGUAACGGCCCACCAAGGUGACGAUCAGUAGCCGACCUGAGAGGGUGAUCGGCCACAUUGGAACUGAGACACGGUCCAAACUUCUACGGAAGGCAGCAGUAAGGAAUCUUGCACAAUGGGGGAAACCCUGAUGCAGCAACGCCGCGUGAACGAUGAAGGCCUUAGGGUUGUAAAGUUCUGAUCUGGGGGAAGAAGAAGUGACGGUACCCCAGGAGAAAGCCCCGGCUAAAUACGUGCC
This 495-nucleotide ribosomal RNA is filed under the name uncultured organism. Its description in RNAcentral is "SSU rRNA". It matches the Rfam family "Bacterial small subunit ribosomal RNA", at positions 15 to 509 of the family's 1533-position model. The record is from RNAcentral.